RNAcentral lists this microRNA (22 nucleotides) under Macacine gammaherpesvirus 4 (Rhesus lymphocryptovirus). Its description in RNAcentral is "rlcv-miR-rL1-28-5p". Its record names the gene rlcv-miR-rL1-28-5p. Lineage: Duplodnaviria; Heunggongvirae; Peploviricota; Herviviricetes; Herpesvirales; Orthoherpesviridae. The record is from miRBase by way of RNAcentral.
UGGAAGGCGUUGCUUUCAGCUG